GAUCCACACUCCUCGCUCCUUGGAACAUCCAUGUUUCCGCAUCGAUUUUGACUGCAUUUUCGUGUUGGGUGGAGGUCAUCAGUUCGCAUGUGGAAUCCGGAGAGGGCAUCUGCUUUGGUUGAUUUAGACAGAUCUGUUCAUACGCACCCCCUCCCUCCCCCGUGCACCCCCAAAUGCUCUGCAUCGAGCUCAUCACAUUGAUUUCUGGGGGAUUUUCGUGGUUUGUUCUGGUUUUUGGGGAGGUCAGGGGAUAGGGAUUUCACGCUCGCGCACUAACCGCUGGGAAUCGUAGUACACAUCAAUCCUCUGCAUUGGGUGGGUGCAGAUGCAGAGGAUUUUUUUAGCAUAUACAUGUUCAUUGGGGUGUCAGGAACACACCCAUGCUCACAUCCUGUUGGUUUUUUCGCAUCAAUUAGCAGGGACUUUUACCGGUUUUUGUUUGCAUUUUA
Panicum virgatum (switchgrass) is the source of this 449-nucleotide long non-coding RNA. RefSeq lists it as uncharacterized. The record is from RefSeq and is a predicted model, not a curated record. The transcript is spliced from 2 exons. NCBI's taxonomy places the organism in Eukaryota, Viridiplantae, Streptophyta, Magnoliopsida, Poales, Poaceae.